AUACGGAGGGUGCAAGCGUUACUCGGAAUCACUGGGCGUAAAGCGCGCGCAGGCGGGCUGAUAAGUUGGAUGUGAAAGCCUACGGCUCAACCGUAGAACUGCAUCCAAAACUGUCAGUCUCGAGUGUGGGAGAGGAAGAUGGAAUUAGUUGUGUAGGGGUAAAAUCCGUAGAGAUAACUAGGAAUACCAAAAGCGAUGGCAAUCUUCUGGAACGCUACUGACGCUGAGGCGCGAAGGCGUGGGGAGCAAACAGGAUUAGAAACCCUAGUAGUCC
RNAcentral lists this ribosomal RNA (274 nucleotides) under uncultured bacterium. Its description in RNAcentral is "partial 16S ribosomal RNA". It matches the Rfam family "Bacterial small subunit ribosomal RNA", at positions 523 to 796 of the family's 1533-position model. The record is from RNAcentral.